Molecule: ribosomal RNA, 447 nt
Filed under: uncultured bacterium
Lineage: Bacteria
Description: partial 16S ribosomal RNA
Rfam family: Bacterial small subunit ribosomal RNA
Source: RNAcentral
AGCGAACGCUGGCGGCAGGCUUAACACAUGCAAGUCGAACGCCCCGCAAGGGGAGUGGCAGACGGGUGAGUAACACGUGGGAGCGUACCCUUUGGUUCGGAAUAACUUGGGGAAACUCAAGCUAAUACCGGAUAAGCCCUUAUGGGGAAAGGUUUACUGCCGAAGGAUCGGCCCGCGUCUGAUUAGCUAGUUGGUGAGGUAACGGCUCACCAAGGCGACGAUCAGUAGCUGGUCUGAGAGGAUGAUCACCCACACUGGGACUGAGACACGGCCCAGACUCCUACGGGAGGCAGCAGUGGGGAAUAUUGGACAAUGGGGGCAACCCUGAUCCAGCCAUGCCGCGUGAGUGAUGAAGGCCUUAGGGUUGUAAAGCUCUUUUACCCGGGACGAUAAUGACUGUACCGGGAGAAUAAGCCCCGGCAAACUUCGUGCCAGCAGCCGCCGUAA